Molecule: ribosomal RNA, 335 nt
Filed under: uncultured eukaryote
Lineage: Eukaryota
Description: partial 18S ribosomal RNA
Rfam family: Eukaryotic small subunit ribosomal RNA
Source: RNAcentral
UGAUGGCGUAUAUUAAAUUUGUUGCAGUUAAAAAGCUCGUAGUUGAAGUGACGGUGGGCGAUUGGCAUCCCUUCUAGGGAAACCUUUUGCCUGCUCGGCAUCUUCCGAUGCCUCGUUACUUUGAGAAAAAUAGAGUGUUUCAAGCGGGCAUAUGCUUACAUAGUGUACCGUGGAAUAACAAUAAGGCUGCUUUUCCGCUUGUUGAUUCUCGGGAUUGCGGUGCGUGUUGAGAGGAACAGUCGGGGGUAUUCGUAUUGAACAGUCAGAGGUGAAAUUCUUAGAUUUGUUCAGGACGAACUAGUGCGAAGGCAUCUACCAAGGAUGUUUCCAUUAAC